Molecule: long non-coding RNA, 318 nt
Filed under: Brassica rapa (field mustard)
Lineage: Eukaryota; Viridiplantae; Streptophyta; Magnoliopsida; Brassicales; Brassicaceae
Description: long non-coding RNA (BRAP_LNC001020)
Source: RNAcentral
GCCGGAUCUGGAGCAUGAUGGCGACGGCAAGGCUUGAUUCUGAGCCUGACGACAUCGGUAGAGGAAGACGACUGAAGAUCCGGUGACGGAAGAGUACGCUGUGUGAAUCUCGUGACGGUCUCAAAUCUGACAUAAACAGAGGUGAAAGGUGAAGCACGACCGUGAAAAGGUGAAGCACGACCGUGAAAAGGAUAAGUUUGGCGGUGACGAUCUACAUUUAGACGCAGCAGUAGACAUAAGAAGUCAGAGCUCAGAUUCAUGGCGAGUCGGAUGCGGUUAUAGACGCUACCCUCUUCAUGUGACGAUGCCUUAGCUAUU